GUAGGGAAUAUUAGUAAUGGGCGAAAGCCUGAACUAGCGACACCGCGUGUGCGAAGAAGGCCUUCGGGUUGUAAAGCACUUUUAGAGAGGAUGAGGAAGGACGGUACUCUCUGAAUAAGUCUCGGCUAACUACGUGCCAGCAGCCGCGGUAACACGUAGGAGGCAAACGUUAUCCGGAUUUACUGGGCGUAAAGCGCGUGUAGGUGGUUCUGUAAGUAGGGCGUGAAAGCUCCCGGCUCAACUGGGAGAGGCCGUUCUAAACUGCAGAGCUAGAGGAUGGUAGAGGGAGGUGGAAUUCCGGGUGUAGCGGUGGAAUGCGCAGAUAUCCGGAGGAACACCAGUGGCGAAGGCGACCUCCUGGGCCACUCCUGACACUCAGACGCGAAAGCUAGGGUAGCAAACGGGAUUAGAAACCCCUGUAGUCC
RNAcentral lists this ribosomal RNA (425 nucleotides) under uncultured bacterium. RNAcentral describes it as "bacterial SSU rRNA". It matches the Rfam family "Bacterial small subunit ribosomal RNA", at positions 354 to 796 of the family's 1533-position model. The record is from RNAcentral.